ACGGGAGGCAGCAGUGGGGGAUAUUGCACAAUGGGGGAAACCCUGAUGCAGCGACGCCGCGUGAGUGAUGAAGUAUUUCGGUAUGUAAACCUCUGUCAACAGGGACGAAGAAGACGGUACCUGUGAAGGAAGCUCCGGCUAACUACGUGCCAGCAGCCGCGGUAAUACGUAGGGAGCAAGCGUUAUCCGGAAUUACUGGGUGUAAAGGGAGUGUAGGCGGGACUGUAAGUCAGAUGUGAAAUAUACCGGCUCAACUGGUAGACUGCAUUUGAAACUGCGGUUCUUGAGUGAAGUAGAGGUAAGCGGAAUUCCUAGUGUAGCGGUGAAAUGCGUAGAUAUUAGGGGGAACAUCAGUGGCGAAGGCGGCUUACUGGGCUUUAACUGACGCUGAGGCUCGAAAGCGUGGGGAGCAAACAGGAUUAGAUACCCUGGUA
This 434-nucleotide ribosomal RNA is filed under the name uncultured Ruminococcus sp. Its description in RNAcentral is "bacterial SSU rRNA". It matches the Rfam family "Bacterial small subunit ribosomal RNA", at positions 341 to 792 of the family's 1533-position model. Lineage: Bacteria; Bacillati; Bacillota; Clostridia; Eubacteriales; Oscillospiraceae. The record is from RNAcentral.